UAGAGUCUCUGAACUCCCAAACCUUUGUGAACAUACCACUGUUGCUUCGGCGGCGUUCUGGGUGUCUCCGGGCAUCCAGGGUUCCACGCGCCGCCGGGGGUACCAAACUCUUGUCUUUAUAUCGGACUUCUGAGUGAAAUACAAAAUAAAUUA
Molecule: unclassified non-coding RNA, 153 nt
Filed under: uncultured Ascomycota
Lineage: Eukaryota; Fungi; Ascomycota
Description: sequence contains ITS1
Source: RNAcentral